Molecule: ribosomal RNA, 454 nt
Filed under: uncultured Desulfobulbus sp.
Lineage: Bacteria; Pseudomonadati; Thermodesulfobacteriota; Desulfobulbia; Desulfobulbales; Desulfobulbaceae
Description: bacterial SSU rRNA
Rfam family: Bacterial small subunit ribosomal RNA
Source: RNAcentral
UGGAGGUAUGUGGUUAAUUCGAUGCAACGCGAAGAACCUUACCUGGUCUUGACAUCCCGGAGACCCUUAGGAAACUAGGGGUGCUUCCAUCUGGAAGAAUCUGGAGACAGGUGCUGCAUGGCUGUCGUCAGCUCGUGUCGUGAGAUGUUGGGUUAAGUCCCGCAACGAGCGCAACCCUUGCCUUUAGUUGCCAGCAGUUCGGCUGGGCACUCUAAAGGGACUGCCGGUGUUAAACCGGAGGAAGGUGGGGAUGACGUCAAGUCCUCAUGGCCUUUAUGACCAGGGCUACACACGUACUACAAUGGCCGAUACAAAGGGCAGCGACACUGCGAGGUGAAGCCAAUCCCGUAAAAUCGGUCUCAGUCCGGAUUGGAGUCUGCAACUCGACUCCAUGAAGUUGGAAUCGCUAGUAAUCGUGGAUCAGCAUGCCACGGUGAAUACGUUCCCGGGCCUU